GAUGAACGCUGGCGGCGUGCCUAAUACAUGCAAGUCGAGCGAACAGACGAGGAGCUUGCUCCUCUGACGUUAGCGGCGGACGGGUGAGUAACACGUGGAUAACCUACCUAUAAGACUGGGAUAACUUCGGGAAACCGGAGCUAAUACCGGAUAAUAUAUUGAACCGCAUGGUUCAAUAGUGAAAGACGGUGUUGCUGUCACUUAUCGAUGGAUCCGCGCCGUAUUAGCUAGUUGGUAAGGUAAAGGCUUACCAAGGCGACGAUGCGUAGCCGACCUGAGAGGCGGAUCGGCCACACUGGAACUGAGACACGGUCCAUGGGCCUACGAGAGGCCGCAGGAGGCAAUCGUCCGCAACGGGCGAAAACCUGACGGAGCAACGCCGCGUGAGUGAUGAAAGUCUUCGGAUCGUAAAACUCUGUUAUUAGGGAAGAACAAAUGUCUAAGUAACUAUGCACGUCUUGACGGUACCUAAUCAGAAAGCAACGGCUAACUACGUG
This 497-nucleotide ribosomal RNA is filed under the name uncultured bacterium. RNAcentral's name for it is "partial 16S ribosomal RNA". It matches the Rfam family "Bacterial small subunit ribosomal RNA", at positions 28 to 507 of the family's 1533-position model. The record is from RNAcentral.